This 334-nucleotide ribosomal RNA is filed under the name uncultured Streptococcus sp. RNAcentral describes it as "bacterial SSU rRNA". It matches the Rfam family "Bacterial small subunit ribosomal RNA", at positions 1045 to 1382 of the family's 1533-position model. The record is from RNAcentral. Lineage: Bacteria; Bacillati; Bacillota; Bacilli; Lactobacillales; Streptococcaceae.
AUGGUUGUCGUCAGCUCGUGUCGUGAGAUGUUGGGUUAAGUCCGCAACGAGCGCAACCCCUAUUGUUAGUUGCCAUCAUUCAGUUGGGCACUCUAGCGAGACUGCCGGUAAUAAACCGGAGGAAGUGGGGAUGACGUCAAAUCAUCAUGCCCCUUAUGACCUGGGCUACACACGUGCUACAAUGGUUGGUACAACGAGUUGCGAGUCGGUGACGGCGAGCUAAUCUCUUAAAGCCAAUCUCAGUUCGGAUUGUAGGCUGCAACUCGCCUACAUGAAGUCGGAAUCGCUAGUAAUCGCGGAUCAGCACGCCGCGGUGAAUACGUUCCCGGGCCUU